RNAcentral lists this ribosomal RNA (253 nucleotides) under uncultured bacterium. Its description in RNAcentral is "partial 16S ribosomal RNA". It matches the Rfam family "Bacterial small subunit ribosomal RNA", at positions 524 to 776 of the family's 1533-position model. The record is from RNAcentral.
UACGAAUCGUCCAAACGUUGUUCGGAUUUACUGGGUUUAAAGGGCGCGUAGGCGGUGCGCUAAGUCGGUGGUGAAAUACUUCGGCUCAACCGGAGAAUUGCCGCUGAAACUGGCGUGCUCGAGGGAGGUAGAGGUGCGUGGAACUUCCGGUGGAGCGGUGAAAUGCGUUGAUAUCGGAAGGAACACCUGUGGCGAAAGCGGCUUACUGGGUCUCUACUGACGCUGAGGCACGAAAGCUAGGGUAGCAAACGGG